Molecule: ribosomal RNA, 439 nt
Filed under: uncultured bacterium
Lineage: Bacteria
Description: partial 16S ribosomal RNA
Rfam family: Bacterial small subunit ribosomal RNA
Source: RNAcentral
CUACGGGGCGCUGCAGUGAGGAAUAUUGCACAAUGGGGGGAACCCUGAUGCAGCAACGCCGCGUGGAGGAUGACGCAUUUCGGUGUGUAAACUCCUUUUAUAUGUCAAGAAAAUGACGGUAGCAUAUGAAUAAGCACCGGCUAACUCCGUGCCAGCAGCCGCGGUAAUACGGAGGGUGCAAGCGUUACUCGGAAUCACUGGGCGUAAGGGACGCGUAGGCGGGUUGGAAAGUCAGGUGUGAAAUCCUACAGCUUAACUGUAGAACUGCACUUGAAACUUCUAAUCUAGAGUAUGGGAGGGGGAGAUGGAAUUAGUGGUGUAGGGGUAAAAUCAGUAGAUAUCACUAGGAAUACCUAAAGCGAAGGCGAUCUCCUGGAACAUUACUGACGCUAAGGCGUGAAAGCGUGGGGAGCAAACAGGAUUAGAUACCCCGGUAGUC